This 262-nucleotide long non-coding RNA is filed under the name Capsicum annuum. Its description in RNAcentral is "long non-coding RNA (CANN_LNC007884)". The record is from RNAcentral. Lineage: Eukaryota; Viridiplantae; Streptophyta; Magnoliopsida; Solanales; Solanaceae.
UAUUUUAACCAUCUAGAAGGUGCUGAAACGUUGGCAGCAAUGCGGGGCAUUUAUCGAAGCCCCGCCAAGCUCGAAAACGCGCCCAAAUAGUCCGAAACAUGCCCAAAACGUGAGGAGUUUAAUGGGUUGUGACGUUGAGCGUCACAAUGUGGUUGUAAAAAUAGUGACUUAAGAUUAAUGAUGUAUGUUUUGUAAGAAUUAUGUAUAAGGUUGGGUUGUAAAUCAUGUUUAGCACUAGACAUUAAGUUUGAACAAUUGAUGU